UACGUAGGGGGCAAGCGUUGUCCGGAUUUACUGGGCGUAAAGAGCGUGUAGGCGGCCAAGCAGGUCCGUUGUGAAAACUGGAGGCUUAACCUCCAGACGUCGACGGAAACCGCGUGGCUAGAGUCCGGAAGAGGAGAGUGGAAUUCCUGGUGUAGCGGUGAAAUGCGCAGAUAUCAGGAAGAACACCGAUGGCGAAGGCAGGUCUCUGGGCCGAUACUGACGCUGAGGAGCGAAAGCGUGGGGAGCGAACAGG
This 253-nucleotide ribosomal RNA is filed under the name uncultured bacterium. Its description in RNAcentral is "partial 16S ribosomal RNA". It matches the Rfam family "Bacterial small subunit ribosomal RNA", at positions 524 to 776 of the family's 1533-position model. The record is from RNAcentral.